ACAGAGGUCUCAAGCGUUGUUCGGAUUCAUUGGGCGUAAAGGGCGCGUAGGCGGCCUCCGCAAGUCAGUUGUGAAAUCUCCGAGCUUAACUCGGAAAGGUCAACUGAUACUGCAGGGCUAGAGUGCGGAAGGGGCAACUGGAAUUCUUGGUGUAGCGGUGAAAUGCGUAGAUAUCAAGAGGAACACCUGCGGCGAAGGCGGGUUGCUGGGCCGACACUGACGCUGAGGCGCGAAAGCUAGGGGAGCGAACGGGA
This 254-nucleotide ribosomal RNA is filed under the name uncultured prokaryote. RNAcentral's name for it is "partial 16S ribosomal RNA". It matches the Rfam family "Bacterial small subunit ribosomal RNA", at positions 525 to 777 of the family's 1533-position model. The record is from RNAcentral.